RNAcentral lists this long non-coding RNA (1332 nucleotides) under Crocodylus porosus (Australian saltwater crocodile). Its description in RNAcentral is "lncRNA (ENSCPRG00005006795.1)". Lineage: Eukaryota; Metazoa; Chordata; Crocodylia; Crocodylidae. The record is from RNAcentral.
AUGAUAUAUGACUGAUGUAGUUUGUCUUCAUUUUGCUUAUGUUACUAGUCAUUCACAUUUACUGCUGUUUUGCAUCUGCAGGUCUCAUGAGUUUUGCAAGAUUGGAUGCACUUCAUCCCUAUUUCACUGAUGGGAUAACUGAGACACAAAAACGGUGCAUACACAGUGGGAGCAAGGAGUGGCUGAGACUAUUUAGUCUUUUUUUCUGGUUCAGACCACAGGAACACAGGAAAUUAAAGAAUCUGCUUGAUUGCAGUGGUACAAACCAUGAGUCUCAUCCAAGACAUGUACUAACAAGAAGGCUAUCAUUAUUUGCAACAACUGAGAAGAUAAUUAGAAACCUACCAAUGCUACAGUCAUAUUUCCUGUCACAAGAAGAUGAUGACACACCAAAAAUGGAUUUGGAAAUCUUUGCUGACAGUAAAAGUGGGAAGAGUAUAGCAUGAACCUCCUCUGAUAUAAUUAUAUUACAGUAUUCAGCAAUCAUGAUUCUAACAUAGCUGUAACAAUUGCAUUCCUGAAAGCACAAAGCCUGCAUCUUGUUUCAAUGGAAGCUUUGCCUGAGUAAGGACAGUAGCCCAUAGAGUUUUCAGCCUUUGAAGACUACAAUAGCUUAUUUUAGGCCAUGAAUUCAGAUUCUUCACAACCAUCAGAAAAGCCAAAGACUGUAAUAUAAAAUUUGGACAAAGUUAAAUAUCUUUAUCUAGGGAUCUACUUUUUUGUUUUUGCUGGCUUUUUUAAAGCUGCAGAAAACUACUUCUGGGAACUGAAUAUGAUAUUUUGUUCUGCUUAUGGUAUUUUCAGUAUAUUCAUUUCUUGCAUGUUAAAUGAAAACAGUAAGCAGAUUUUUAGUGGAUGUAAGUCAGUUUUCUUUAAUGGAACUAUGCCAGUUUACAAUAGCCAAUAGAUCUGGCUCUAGAUCUCAUAUCACUUUGCUGGGAUGCAUUAAAAAAAUCUAGUAGAAAAAUGUGAACAUAUAGGCUAAGUGCAGACAGUCAGAAAGCCUAAAGCUGAAUUGAUUCAAUCUUUGCAGGUUAGUCUAAAUUGCAUAGAUUGGACCAAUAAGUGAACAGACAUUAAUGUCUGAUUCUGGAAAUGCAUCUACAUGCCUGCAGUGGCCCAGGCCACAAGCUGGGGGUGGGGCGCUAGGGCACAUCUCCCUGCUUAGCUUGAGCAAACAGUGUGGGCCAAGGCUACCCCGCCCACCCUGCUUGGGGUGGGGGGCUUGCGGGGGAGGUGCAAAGCAUCCUGGGAUGCUGGGAGACUAUGAGUUAGCUGGAAUCUGGAGGGGACCUGGGACAGAAUUUCAAUAAACUGAUUUAACGUAAAUCA